This 513-nucleotide ribosomal RNA is filed under the name uncultured Entrophosporaceae. Its description in RNAcentral is "SSU rRNA". It matches the Rfam family "Eukaryotic small subunit ribosomal RNA", at positions 569 to 1078 of the family's 1831-position model. The record is from RNAcentral. Lineage: Eukaryota; Fungi; Glomeromycota; Glomeromycetes; Entrophosporales; Entrophosporaceae.
AGCAGCCGCGGUAAUUCCAGCUCCAAUAGCGUAUAUUAAAGUUGUUGCAGUUAAAAAGCUCGUAGUUGAAUUUCGGGAUUGACGUGACGGUCAUGCCUUAAGGGGUAUGAACUGUUACAGUUGAUUUCUCACCUUCUGGAGAAACUUGAUGUCCUUUAUUGGGUGUCUUGCGGAUCCAGGACCUUUACCUUGAAAAAUUAGAGUGUUUAAAGCAGGCAUUUUUGCUCGAAUACAUUAGCAUGGAAUAAUAGAAUAGGACGGCAUGGUUCUAUUUUGUUGGUUUCUAGGAUCACCGUAAUGAUUAAUAGGGAUAGUUGGGGGCAUUAGUAUUCAAUUGUCAGAGGUGAAAUUCUUGGAUUUAUUGAAGACUAACUACUGCGAAAGCAUUUGCCAAGGAUGUUUUCAUUAAUCAAGAACGAAAGUUAGGGGAUCGAAGACGAUCAGAUACCGUCGUAGUCUUAACCAUAAACUAUGCCGACUAGGAAUCAGACGAUGUUAAUUUUUAAUGACUCG